Molecule: RNA transcript, 2015 nt
Organism: Vombatus ursinus (common wombat)
Lineage: Eukaryota; Metazoa; Chordata; Mammalia; Diprotodontia; Vombatidae
Gene: TIRAP
Gene name: TIR domain containing adaptor protein
Exons: 5
Source: RefSeq, a predicted model, not a curated record
CAGCUGGACAGCCUUCAAACUUCUAAACUCACCAGGGCAGGGCAGAACGGGACUGGAGGUGUUCCCUGGGAGGCGUACAGAACCGUAGCACGGAGUGAGGAACUGGAAGCCUGAGCUCCAGCUGUGCUUUUUUGUCCAGAAAGGACCCUUUCUGCCACCACCACCCCUCCCCCGUCUGUCUCCUCUGCUGCGUCUCUCUGCUUUGGUGUCCUGUUCCAUUUCACGCAGGCUCCUUUUCCCCAUUCCACCUUCUUCCUCUUCCCUCUCCUUUCAACUACUCUUUUGCACUUUUAAAAAAACCAAACUGCAAUCUGAUUUUCGUCUUAAGAUGUCAUUCUUCCACUGUGGAAAAAAAAAAAAAAAAGCCUCAAACAGCCGAGUCUCUCCCUUAGCCCCGUAUUGAUCUUUCUGUGUGUCACUGUGUUCCUGUCUCACUGUCUCCCUCUAGAGCUCUCUACCUGUCUCAUGUCGACCUCCGCAUGUGUCUGUCUACACAGGAAAAACCACAUGACUGAAGCUUGGGCAUUUUAUAUCCUAUCAGUGGAAUACCAGCUCCUUGAAAGCAACAAACCCAGCGCUUUAUACCUAGAUGGCUAUUCCAUGGCGCUUGACCUAGACUGAGGCUUCCCCUGUCCCACCAGUGUUCUGCCUCCCACAGAUUAGUUGCAAGCCCAAAUCAAGUGGCAUCAAUCUCACCUUCAUUUCCUUGCUCCUGAAUUAGAGGGCCAGGACAGGAUGGCUGGCUGGUUCCGACAGAUCCUGCGUAAGCCCAAGAAACGCCAUGUGCGGCCAGAUACCAACACCAAGGAUGUGCUAGAGCUACCCUCCCAAAGCAGUUCUCUACCUGAGACUGAGGAAUCUACCAAGGUUCCCACCCCAAACCCAGCAGACACAGAGAGCACAAGCAGCAGCUCUCGCUGGUGCAAAACUUAUGACGUAUGUGUGUGCCAUAGUGAGCAAGACCUGAUAGCUGUCCAGGAAUUGGUUUCCUAUCUGGAGGGUGAGCCCGACAGACUUCGAUGCUUCCUGCAGCUUCGGGACGCAGCCCCAGGUGGUGCCAUCGUGUCCGAACUGUGCCAGGCAAUGGGAAACAGCCAUUGCUGUGUACUAUUUAUCACCCCCCAUUUCCUUCAGGACCCUUGGUGCAAGUACCAAAUGUUACAGGCACUAAGUGAGGCCCCUGCAUCUGAGGGCCACACCAUACCUCUGCUGUUUGGCCUGGCCCGAAGAGAUUACCCCCCUGAGCUCCGAUUCAUGUUCUACGUGGAUGGCAAUGGCUUUGACAAUGGAUUUGGAAAGGUCAAGACCACAGUCUGGCGUUGUAAGCAGUGUGAUGGCGGGGGAGGUGGGCCUUUGAUCCACCUGAAAAGUUACUUUGGUUUCUUUUAGAUAGGGAUGGAGACCUCUUUGGGAAGGGGCCAGGGAGGGACCCCAAGGGUGAAGGACACUGGUCUUCAAGGGAGAAAAGAUCUGCAAAAAUUUAGCUGAGCUGUAUACCCCAUCUUAUCACCAUGGAGCCCAGGAUGUUGGAGCAAGACUGGACUUGGAGCUAGAGGGGACACUGAGGGUCUCCAGAAAGCUCUGGUGGAAAACAGACAGGUGCUAUAAGGAUUCAUGGCCUCAACAACGUUUCUGUUCUGCCUCUGAGAUAGCCUCUGAGAUAGGCUUCUCCAGUACUUGGGACUUCCCUUCCCAAGAACUCAACUCUGGCCAUGGGAAAAUUCAGGUUGCUGCUAAUGUCACUCCCUUAGAGCAUUUCUUAGGCAGGAUGAAUGUGUUACUUUGGUUUCUGUCCAAAAAGAAGUCUUGCCUCCAUAAUUUUGCAUGAAGCUCAUCACAUGACUAUGUGUUCCUCCCCCUCAAGCAUGGGCAUAUUUGUGUAACUCUGUGUCCCUGCCCAGGGAAAGAACUACUGGUCUGCUCCAUCUGGCAAGGCUACAGAACAUGCUAAAAGCCUCUAUGUAGACUGAGGAAUUCUGGCUCAAGUGGAGGAAAUACAACUGGUGCCAACUCUU